GUAGUUUGACUGGGGCGGUCUCCUCCCAAAGAGUAACGGAGGAGCACGAAGGUACCCUCAGCACGGUUGGAAAUCGUGCAGUGAGUGCAAGAGCAUAAGGGUGCUUAACUGCGAGACAGACACGUCGAGCAGAUACGAAAGUAGGUUCUAGUGAUCCGGUGGUUCUGUAUGGAAGGGCCAUCGCUCAACGGAUAAAAGGUACUCCGGGGAUAACAGGCUGAUACCGCCCAAGAGUUCACAUCGACGGCGGUGUUUGGCACCUCGAUGUCGGCUCAUCACAUCCUGGGGCUGAAGUCGGUCCCAAGGGUAUGGCUGUUCGCCAUUUAAAGUGGUACGCGAGCUGGGUUUAGAACGUCGUGAGACAGUUCGGUCCCUAUCUGCCGUGGGCGUUGGAGAUUUGAGAAGCGCUGCUCCUAGUACGAGAGGACCGGAGUGGACGUACCUCUGGUGUUCCGGUUGUCACGCCAGUGGCAUUGCCGGGUAGCUAUGUACGGACGGGAUAACCGCUGAAAGCAUCUAAGCGGGAAGCCCCCUUCAAGAUGAGAUCUCCCUGAGGCCUUGAGCCUCCUAAAGGACCCAGCAAGACCAGCUGGUUGAUAGGCCGGGUGUGGAAGCGCUGCAAGGCGUUGAGCUAACCGGUACUAAUGGUCCGUGAGGCUUGACCAUAUAACACCCAAAGGGUUUUG
The sequence is a ribosomal RNA, 686 nucleotides long. It matches the Rfam family "Bacterial large subunit ribosomal RNA", at positions 2265 to 2925 of the family's 2925-position model.